UGAGGAACAUGACUUUCGGCGGGGGAUAGCCGGCCCAACGGCCGGGUAAUACCGCGUACGACCUCUCGGGGACAUCCCCGGUUGGUGAAAGCAGCAAUGCACCGAAAGAGUGCCUCGCGGCCUAUCAGCUAGUUGGUGGGGUAACGGCUCACCAAGGCGACGACGGGUAGCUGGUCUGAGAGGUAUGGCCAGCCACAUUGGGACUGAGACACGGCCCAGACUCCGUACGGGGAGGCAG
This 238-nucleotide ribosomal RNA is filed under the name uncultured bacterium. Its description in RNAcentral is "partial 16S ribosomal RNA". It matches the Rfam family "Bacterial small subunit ribosomal RNA", at positions 118 to 351 of the family's 1533-position model. The record is from RNAcentral.